Molecule: ribosomal RNA, 945 nt
Filed under: uncultured bacterium
Lineage: Bacteria
Description: bacterial SSU rRNA
Rfam family: Bacterial small subunit ribosomal RNA
Source: RNAcentral
AGAGUUUGAUCGUGACUCAGAACGAACGUUGGCGGCGUGGAUUAGGCAUGCAAGUCGGGGGAAUCGCGCAAGGGGGAACCGGCGUAAGGGGCCAAAAGGCAUGGGUACCUACCUUUGGGUUCGGGAUAGCCAUCAGAGAUGGUGGGUAAUACCGGAUGAUGUCGUGAGACCACAGAUUUUUCGCCAGGAGAGGGGCCAAUGUGAUAAUAGCUAGUUGGUGAGGUAAUGACUCACCAAGACUCAGAUGUCUAGCGGGUGUGAGAGCACGACCAGCGCCACUCGCACUGAGACACUGGCGAGACACCUACGGGUGACUGCCAACGAGGAUCUUCGGCAAUGAGCGCAAGCUUGACCGAGCGACGCCGCGUGAGCGAUGAAGGCCUUCGGGUUGUCCGGCUCUUUUGUGGGGGAGCCAAGCCCGCAAGGGUGUGAUCUAUCGCCAAAAUAAGCACGGACUAAGUUCGUGCCAGCAGCCGCGGUAAGACGAACCGUGCGAACGUUGUUCGGAAUCACUGGACUUCCGGGGCGCGUAGGCGGACUGUCAAGUCUGGGGUGCCAUGCCGCGACUCAACCGUGGAACUGCCUUAGAUACUGACGGCCUUGAGGAAGGUAGGGGCAUGCGGAACUGUAGGUGGAGCGGUGCCAUGCGUUGAUAACUACAGGAACUCCGGUGGCGCCAGCGGCGUGCUGGACCUUUUCUGACGCUGAGCGCGCCAGCUAGGGGAGCCAACGGGAUUAGAUACCACGGUAGUCCUAGCCAUCCGCGAUGGGUACUAGAUAGUAGCUUGAUAAGGGUUUUCUGUCGAAGCUCCGAAGCUAAGUACCACGCCUGGGGGAGUAUGGUCGCAAGACUGCCACUAGGAAUUGACGGGGACUCACACAAGCGUGGAGCAUGUGACUUAUUUCGAGACUACGCGAGAACCUUAUCGUGGACUUGACAUGUGC